Molecule: non-coding RNA, 227 nt
Organism: Pelobates cultripes (western spadefoot toad)
Lineage: Eukaryota; Metazoa; Chordata; Amphibia; Anura; Pelobatidae
Source: the annotation of a GenBank genome assembly
GUGCAUAACAGGCUUUCCCUCUUUGUCACUCCUCUACUCUAUCUUCUUCGGCAGGUAUGCCUUGCUAACUCACUUACUUAAAAAGAGUAAUCAAACUGUUGAACCCAUGCUAUUACUAAACCAAAAUGUGCCUGACCAGCAAAUGCCACAAAUUGUGUUAUCCAUUGCAGUUCUUUCUACCUUGAUACCACUGUUGUGGCGAACCAAGGAUGCUUGUUUAUUUUGUG